This 1028-nucleotide long non-coding RNA is filed under the name Ornithorhynchus anatinus (platypus). RNAcentral describes it as "lncRNA (ENSOANG00000048344.1)". The record is from RNAcentral. Lineage: Eukaryota; Metazoa; Chordata; Mammalia; Monotremata; Ornithorhynchidae.
AUGGAGAGGGGCCGCGGGGCCGCGCUCGCGCGCUCCCGGCGGGGGGAAAGGGGGGGGGGGGCGCGCCUGGGAUGCUUGCCCCGGCCCCGCGCUUACCGUGUCCGCCCCGGGGAGCUCGGCCGUCCGGAGGAGAAGAAAAAGAAGAGGAGGAGGAGGAGGAGAGCAAGGCAGGUAGGAGCCGGGAGUCCCCGCCCGGGGGGCCGGCCGGAGGCGGGGCUGCGGGACAGGACGGGGCGGGGCUCCCUCCUCUUCCCUCCCUUUUUUUUUUUUUUUUUUCCCCCCCCUCCCCGCCCCCCCGCAGCCGGGCUGGGGAUGGAGAUGGGAAAGGGAAGACCCUCCCUCCGUCCGCCCCGCCGCCUUUUCCCACGCUCCGCUCCCGGCCGGUCCUGCCCCGCCCCGCCCCGCAUCUCCGGCGCAUGCGCGGACCCGCCCGCCCCGCUCAUCCCCCCUCCCCGGCCCCGGCCCCCCCCCCCCCAAUCGCCCUGGCGGCGCUGGGAGGGGGGAGGGGGAGGCGCUCAACGCCCUGAAACUCACCCUGUGCUAAGCACUGCGCCCCGGCGCACCCCCCCGGAGGACCGGAGGGAGCCGGCCCGGCGCCCCCUGGAGGACGGCAGGGGCAAGGCAGGCCACAGGCGCCCCAGCGCCCCCCGGAGGACGGUCGGAGGCGGGACGCGGCCCAGCGCCCCCUGGAGGACAACAGGGGAAAGAUGUCCGAGGAGUGCCUGCCUGCCUGCUGAACAAGAAAUCACUUCCUGCACCGCCAGCGAGUUGCUGAGGUUCUCUGAAAAGGAAGACCUGCAUUUGUUUAUGUGUGACCUGGGGAGAUCCAUGGCUUGACAAAGGAGCUGGAGAUUGCUGUGGGGUAAUCUAGAGAAGACAAAAGUGAAACUUACUGGAAGCCUGGUUUUCCAGCAGUGUAAAAUUACGGAUUUGUUGCCUGGAUGAGAGACUUUCCUGUGGAGUAAAGUAAUCUUCUCUCCAAAGUCAAGUCAUUCUUUCAAAGUUCUCUUGCUAGAAGAGAGUACCAG